AUUGAACGCUGGCGGCGUGCUUAACACAUGCAAGUCGAACGAAGUGGCGAACGGGUGAGUAAUGCGUAAUCAACCUGCCCUUCAGAGGGGGACAACAGUUGGAAACGACUGCUAAUACCGCAUACUGAAGGAGGGGAUUGUGUCGGAUUAGCUAGUGGGAGGGGUAACGGCCCACCAAGGCGAUGGUUAGUAGCCGGUCUGGGAAGUUGGACGGCCAAAUUGGGACUGGAGCACGGGCCAAGCUCCUACGGGGGGCAGCAGUGGGGAAUCUUCCGAAAUGGAGGAAAGUCUGACGGAGCAACGCCGCGUGAGUGAUGACGGCCUUCGGGUUGUAAAGCUCUGUUAAUCGGGACGCGGUACCGGAAUAGAAAGCAACGGCUAACUACGUGCCAGCAGCCGCGGUAAUAC
This 408-nucleotide ribosomal RNA is filed under the name uncultured bacterium. Its description in RNAcentral is "partial 16S ribosomal RNA". It matches the Rfam family "Bacterial small subunit ribosomal RNA", at positions 29 to 526 of the family's 1533-position model. The record is from RNAcentral.